UGGGGACCUUCUCAUAAGACAGUGAAUUUAAAAUACCAAUAUACUUGAUAGGCACAAUUUGCUAUGGAUCACCCACACACUUCCUCAACAUAGAAACAUUGAACACCGGGUGAAUGAAGCUCAAAAUAGAAGGCAACUCUAACUCAUAUGCAAUAUUUCCAACCCUUUUCAAAACCAAAUAAGGACCAGCGUACCGGGUAAUAAUCUUUCCCUUCCUCCCAAAC
Molecule: long non-coding RNA, 224 nt
Filed under: Capsicum annuum
Lineage: Eukaryota; Viridiplantae; Streptophyta; Magnoliopsida; Solanales; Solanaceae
Description: long non-coding RNA (CANN_LNC006760)
Source: RNAcentral